Molecule: ribosomal RNA, 468 nt
Filed under: uncultured bacterium
Lineage: Bacteria
Description: partial 16S ribosomal RNA
Rfam family: Bacterial small subunit ribosomal RNA
Source: RNAcentral
GACGAACGCUGGCGGCGUGCUUAACACAUGCCAGUCGAACGGAAAGGCCCUGCUUUUGUGGGGUGCUCGAGUGGCGAACGGGUGAGUAACACGUGAGUAACCUGCCCUUGACUUUGGGAUAACUUCAGGAAACUGGGGCUAAUACCGGAUAGGAGCUCCUGCUCCAUGGUGGGGGUUGGAAAGUUUCGGCGGUUGGGGAUGGACUCGCGGCUUAUCAGCUUGUUGGUGGGGUAGUGGCUUACCAAGGCUUUGACGGGUAGCCGGCCUGAGAGGGUGACCGGCCACAUUGGGACUGAGAUAAGGCCCAGACUCCUACGGGAGGCAGCAGUGGGGAAUAUUGCACAAUGGGCGGAAGCCUGAUGCAGCAACGCCGCGUGCGGGAUGACGGCCUUCGGGUUGUAAACCGCUUUCGCCUGUGACGAAGCGUGAGUGACGGUAAUGGGUAAAGAAGCACCGGCUAACUACGUG